RNAcentral lists this ribosomal RNA (368 nucleotides) under Solenocera crassicornis. RNAcentral describes it as "partial large subunit ribosomal RNA". It matches the Rfam family "Bacterial large subunit ribosomal RNA", at positions 1971 to 2535 of the family's 2925-position model. Lineage: Eukaryota; Metazoa; Arthropoda; Malacostraca; Decapoda; Solenoceridae. The record is from RNAcentral.
GUCUUUUAAUUGGAGGCUUGUAUGAAUGGUCGGACAAAAAGUUAACUGUCUCAUUUAUAUAAAUUGAAUUUAACUUUUAAGUGAAAAGGCUUAAAUGUACUGAGGGGACGAUAAGACCCUAUAAAGCUUUACAAUAAGUUAAUUAGAUUAUAAAUUGUUAGUAUAACUUGGUUUUAGUUAUUAUUUGUUUCGUUGGGGCGACGAGAAUAUAAUUAUAUAUAUAACUGUUCUUUUAAGAAGAAAACAAGGUUAAUUGGAUUAGAAUUGAUCCUUUAGUAAAGAUUAAAAGAUUAAGUUACUUUAGGGAUAACAGCGUAAUUUUCUUUGAGAGUCCAUAUCGACAAGAAAGGUUGCGACCUCGAUGUUGA